RNAcentral lists this ribosomal RNA (253 nucleotides) under uncultured bacterium. Its description in RNAcentral is "partial 16S ribosomal RNA". It matches the Rfam family "Bacterial small subunit ribosomal RNA", at positions 524 to 776 of the family's 1533-position model. The record is from RNAcentral.
GACAGAGGUGCCGAGCGUUAGGCGGAAUCACUGGGCUUAAAGCGUGUGUAGGCGGGUCGUUAAGUGUCUUGUGAAAUCCCACCGCUCAACGGUGGAACCGCUGGGCAUACUGGCGAUCUUGAGCAGUCCAGGGGCGAGCGGAACAAGCGGUGGAGCGGUGAAAUGCGUAGAUAUCCGGAGGAAGACCGGUGGCGAAGGCGGUCUGCUGGGCAGUUUCUGACACUGAUGCGCGACAGCGUGGGGAGCAAACAGG